This 253-nucleotide ribosomal RNA is filed under the name uncultured bacterium. Its description in RNAcentral is "partial 16S ribosomal RNA". It matches the Rfam family "Bacterial small subunit ribosomal RNA", at positions 524 to 776 of the family's 1533-position model. The record is from RNAcentral.
UACGGAGGGGGCUAGCGUUGUUCGGAAUUACUGGGCGUAAAGCGCGUGUAGGCGGCAGCGUGUGUCGGGCGUGAAAUCCCAUGGCUCAACCAUGGAAGUGCACCCGAAACUGCGCAGCUAGAGUCCUGGAGAGGAAGGUGGAAUACUUGGUGUAGAGGUGAAAUUCGUAGAUAUCAAGUGGAACACCGGUGGCGAAGGCGGCCUUCUGGACAGUGACUGACGCUGAGACGCGAAAGCGUGGGGAGCAAACAGG